ACAGGGAUGAAAAACUUGGCCAUCCAUCAUCUUGAGAAUGCAGGUGUACAAGUGACACGAUGUUGACAUUGGGUGUCCAUUGUUUUCUUGCAAUUCUGCGCUGGCGGUAAUCAUCCAGAAAAAUGGGCUGCAUCACGAGAGCAACUCGUUGUCUCGACACUACUUACAUUUGGUUGGAAGGAACAUAUAAAAAAUAAAAUAAAAUAAAAAAUAAAAAAAUCUAACAAAAAAAAGAAGACAGAAACGAGAACUAGAUGACCGACAAUCAUCAUGAAGCCUCGAAAUCCAAAGGCCGCUUCAUGUAGACCGUGAUUGAUCAUUCAACUGGCGCCGGCAGAUUGGCCUCUAGCCUGUGCCGUGAAUCAUUAAAUCAUUUCCCGUUGGCCUGGAAUAUAAAGGGUUAACGAGCCACCCAAAGUUAAGGGUAAAGUAAGAACACAAAAACCCCCUUGUUUCGCAUGAAAUAGUCUAAGGUCUUUUAUUAUUCAAGUUGGAGUCUUAAUCAAUUUUCUGUCCUGAUUUGAUAUGCUCUAAGGAUGCAAAACAUCUACCUCGUUUCUAGUGCAAUGGCCUUAUUCACUAAUGAAUUGAUUGAUAGGUUAAAAGCGCUUACCUGGAAGAGAUUAACGAAGAACUGAUAGGAACUCGCCAGGUGGCACGUUUUCCAAUAAACCCGUCGAACUCAUUUCUAAGAAAAAUAAUGGAUGUCUUGGAUCCUGAGGAAAGAUACACGUUUUUUUUUUCAGUGAAUUUUCAACUAUAGAAAUCUAAUAUCUCGCCACAGAAAAAUAUGCACUGUUUUACAAAUGUAAAAAUUUUUCUGG
Daphnia magna is the source of this 824-nucleotide long non-coding RNA. RefSeq lists it as uncharacterized. The record is from RefSeq and is a predicted model, not a curated record. Lineage: Eukaryota; Metazoa; Arthropoda; Branchiopoda; Diplostraca; Daphniidae. The transcript has 3 exons.